This 206-nucleotide long non-coding RNA is filed under the name Homo sapiens (human). RNAcentral describes it as "non-protein coding lnc-CRYAA-13:1". Lineage: Eukaryota; Metazoa; Chordata; Mammalia; Primates; Hominidae. The record is from RNAcentral.
CAAACAAAAAGACCAUGGAGGCUUUCUCCUGUUUGUUUCCAGCUGCUGCUUCUCCUUCUGCCUCUGGGAUGAUCUAAACUCAUCUCUUUCUGCCUGUUCCCUCAGCUCCCAUACAUCUCUUAAGCAGUGUUUUUGGAAUUCCACAAUGCACACAUUUCCUUCUCUCAAAAAGGGGAAAGUAUAUUUAAAUUUGGAACAGACUGGGU